UUGUUAACUGUUGUAGAUUACA
RNAcentral lists this microRNA (22 nucleotides) under Oreochromis niloticus (Nile tilapia). RNAcentral describes it as "oni-miR-10782". Lineage: Eukaryota; Metazoa; Chordata; Actinopteri; Cichliformes; Cichlidae. The record is from miRBase by way of RNAcentral.